GAUGAACGCUGGCGGCGUGCCUAAUACAUGCAGGUAGAACGCUGAAGGAAGGAGCUUGCUCUUUCCGGAUGAGUUGCGAACGGGUGAGUAACGCGUAGGUAACCUGCCUGGUAGCGGGGGAUAACUAUUGGAAACGAUAGCUAAUACCGCAUAACAGUAGAUGUUGCAUGAUAUCUACUUAAAAGGUGCAAUUGCACCACUACCAGAUGGACCUGCGUUGUAUUAGCUAGUUGGUGAGGUGCCGGCUCACCAAGGCGACGAUACAUAGCCGACCUGAGAGGGUGAUCGGCCACACUGAGACUGAGACACGGCCCAUACUCCUACGGGAGGCAGCAGUAGGGAAUCUUCGGCAAUGGACGGAAGUCUGACCGAGCAACGCCGCGUGAGUGAAGAAGGUUUUCGGAUCGUAAAGCUCUGUUGUAAGAGAAGAACGAGUGUGAGAGUGGAAAGUUCACACUGUGACGGUAUCUUACCAGAAAGGGACGGCUAACUACGUG
This 497-nucleotide ribosomal RNA is filed under the name uncultured bacterium. RNAcentral's name for it is "partial 16S ribosomal RNA". It matches the Rfam family "Bacterial small subunit ribosomal RNA", at positions 28 to 507 of the family's 1533-position model. The record is from RNAcentral.